RNAcentral lists this ribosomal RNA (348 nucleotides) under uncultured bacterium. RNAcentral's name for it is "bacterial SSU rRNA". It matches the Rfam family "Bacterial small subunit ribosomal RNA", at positions 28 to 374 of the family's 1533-position model. The record is from RNAcentral.
GAUGAACGCUAGCGGGAGGCCUAAUACAUGCAAGUCGAGCGGUAGAGUGACUUCGGUUGCUUGAGAGCGGCGAACGGGUGAGUAACGCGUACACAAUCUACCUUUAAGAGGGGAAUAGCCCUGGGAAACUGGGAUUAAUGCCCCAUGGCAUCACGAGACGGCAUCGUUUUGUUGAUUAAAGCUGAGGUGCUUAGAGAUGAGUGUGCGUCUGAUUAGCUAGUUGGUGCGGUAACGGCGCACCAAGGCGACGAUCAGUAGGGGGCGGUGAGAGCGUGGACCCCCACCACGGGUACUGAGACACGGACCCGACUCCUACGGGAGGCAGCAGUAAGGAAUAUUGGUCAAUGG